CUACGGGCCGCUCCAGUGGGGAAUAUUGGACAAUGGGGGAAACCCUGAUCCAGCAAUGCCGCGUGUGUGAAGAAGGCCUGCGGGUUGUAAAGCACUUUCGGUUGGGAGGACUGCUUCUAGCACUAAUAUUGUUGGAAGUUGACGUUACCUUCAGAAGAAGCACCGGCUAACUCCGUGCCAGCAGCCGCGGUAAUACGGAGGGUGCAUGCGUUAAUCGGAAUUACUGGGCGUAAAGCGCGCGUAGGCGGCUAGAUCAGUCGGGUGUGAAAGCCCCGGGCUUAACCUGGGAACUGCAUCCGAUACUGUCUAGCUUGAGUACAGGAGAGGAGAGUGGAAUUCCACAUGUAGCGGUGAAAUGCGUAGAUAUGUGGAGGAACACCAAUGGCGAAGGCAGCUCUCUGGCCUGAUACUGACGCUGAGGCGCGAAAGCGUGGGGAGCAAACAGGAUUAGAUACCCUAGUAGUC
RNAcentral lists this ribosomal RNA (465 nucleotides) under uncultured bacterium. Its description in RNAcentral is "partial 16S ribosomal RNA". It matches the Rfam family "Bacterial small subunit ribosomal RNA", at positions 339 to 795 of the family's 1533-position model. The record is from RNAcentral.